This is a long non-coding RNA of Lolium rigidum, 588 nucleotides long. RefSeq lists it as uncharacterized. The record is from RefSeq and is a predicted model, not a curated record. The transcript is spliced from 3 exons. Lineage: Eukaryota; Viridiplantae; Streptophyta; Magnoliopsida; Poales; Poaceae.
AUCGUCAAUGAGGCCGACCUGGUCGACGGUGUGAUUUGGCUGGCCGCGUGGACCGCCGGUCAAGGAGAUGUGGCGUCCUUGCCAGCCUCGUCAUGGCCGCUCAUCAAGUCGACGGCGGCUGCUCCCACGGUACCCUGUCAAUUAUGCAUUUUAUAAGGGAUAUUGCAUUCCCUAAAAAGGAUGGGUAGCUCAUCAGUCUUUUUCUGAGAGUAGUUUGGUUGAACUACUGAGUACUGUCAAAGAUUAUGCAAGACCCUGAAGCCAUUGAUGACAGAAGCAUGAAAGGCUGACUAGGUUGCAUGUGUGGUUACAGGAAAAUGAAGCGACCUCUGCAUCAGUUUCUGAACUAAGCAAGAGAUGUGCGGAGAUCAAGUUACCUUCUUCAGGUAACAGUUCAAGGAUGAGGACGGCCGGCUCGUUCAGGGGAGGACGGUGAGCUCGUUCAGGGGAGGGCAUCGAGUUCGUUCAGGGGAGGGCGACGAUCUUGUCCAGGGAGCAGACGAGCUCGCCGUCGGAGCAGCCGGCGGCGCAGUGGCGCAAGGAGGAGGUCAAGCCGUCGAGGACAACGACGAUCGCAGCGGAGGUGCA